Molecule: ribosomal RNA, 599 nt
Filed under: uncultured bacterium
Lineage: Bacteria
Description: bacterial SSU rRNA
Rfam family: Bacterial small subunit ribosomal RNA
Source: RNAcentral
GGCAGGCCUAAUACAUGCAAGUCGAACGGUGCGGGCCUUCGGGCCCGUACAGUGGCAAACGGGUGCGUAACGCGUAAGCAACCUGCCUCACACUGGGGGAUAGCCUGGCGAAAGCGAGGGUAAACCCGCAUGGUCCUUUUCUUCUACCUGGGGGGAUAGGUAAACAGCGAUGGGUGUGAGAGGGGCUUGCGUCGGAUUAGCUAGUUGGCGGGGUAACGGCCCACCAAGGCGAUGAUCCGUCGGGGUUCUGAGAGGAUUGGCCCCCACAUGGGUACUGAGAGACGGACCCAACUCCUACGGGAGGCAGCAGUAGGGAAUAUUGGGCAAUGGGCGCAAGCCUGACCCAGCCAUGCCGCGUGCAGGAUGAAGGCGCUCAGCGUUGUAAACUGCUUUUGACGGGGAAGAACGGCAGACCUGCGGGUUUGUGUGACGGUACCCGCAGAAUAAGCACCGGCUAACUCCGUGCCAGCAGCCGCGGUAAUACGGAGGGUGCAAGCGUUGUCCGGAUUUAUUGGGUUUAAAGGGUGCGUAGGUGGUCUUUUAAGUCUGGUUUGAAAGCUGGUGGCUCAACCAUCAGAUGUGGCUGGAAACUGGGGGAC